GAUGAAGAACGUAGCGAAAUGCGAUAAGUAAUGUGAAUUGCAGAAUUCAGUGAAUCAUCGAAUCUUUGAACGCACAUUGCGCCCGCCAGUAUUCUGGCGGGCAUGCCUGUUCGAGCGUCAUUACAACCCUCAGGCCCCCGGGCCUGGCGUUGGGGAUCGGCAGAAGCCCCCUGUGGGCACACGCCGUCCCUCAAAUACAGUGGCGGUCCCGCCGCAGCUUCCAUUGCGUAGUAGCUAACACCUCGCAACUGGAGAGCGGCGCGGCCAUGCCGUAAAACACCCAACUUCUGAAUGUUGACCUCGAAUCAGGUAGGAAUACUCGCUGAACUUAAGCAUAUCAAUAAGCGGAGGA
RNAcentral lists this unclassified non-coding RNA (352 nucleotides) under soil metagenome. RNAcentral's name for it is "partial contains 5.8S ribosomal RNA, internal transcribed spacer 2, and large subunit ribosomal RNA". The stretch from base 1 to 120 matches the Rfam family "5.8S ribosomal RNA", at positions 35 to 154 of the family's 154-position model. The record is from RNAcentral.